UACAGAGGUCUCAAGCGUUGUUCGGAUUUACUGGGCGUACAGGGAGCGUAGGCGGUUGGAUAAGCCCUCCGUGAAAUCUCCAGGCUUAACCUGGAAAGUGCAGAGGGGACUGUUCAGCUAGAGGAUGGGAGAGGAGCGCGGAAUUCCCGGUGUAGCGGUGAAAUGCGUAGAGAUCGGGAGGAAGGCCGGUGGCGAAGGCGGCGCUCUGGAACAUUUCUGACGCUGAGGCUCGAAAGCGUGGGGAGCAAACAGG
Molecule: ribosomal RNA, 253 nt
Filed under: uncultured bacterium
Lineage: Bacteria
Description: partial 16S ribosomal RNA
Rfam family: Bacterial small subunit ribosomal RNA
Source: RNAcentral